CUUGAAAAACCACCGUUGUUAUUCAUCUACAAAAACA
This 37-nucleotide transfer RNA is filed under the name Gambelia sila (San Joaquin leopard lizard). Its description in RNAcentral is "partial tRNA-Gln". The record is from RNAcentral. Lineage: Eukaryota; Metazoa; Chordata; Lepidosauria; Squamata; Crotaphytidae.